Molecule: ribosomal RNA, 226 nt
Filed under: Vibrio sp. a5m4
Lineage: Bacteria; Pseudomonadati; Pseudomonadota; Gammaproteobacteria; Vibrionales; Vibrionaceae
Description: partial 16S ribosomal RNA
Rfam family: Bacterial small subunit ribosomal RNA
Source: RNAcentral
UUUCGGAGCUAACGCGUUAAGUAGACCGCCUGGGGAGUACGGUCGCAAGAUUAAAACUCAAAUGAAUUGACGGGGGCCCGCACAAGCGGUGGAGCAUGUGGUUUAAUUCGAUGCAACGCGAAGAACCUUACCUACUCUUGACAUCCAGAGAACUUAGCAGAGAUGCUUUGGUGCCUUCGGGAACUCUGAGACAGGUGCUGCAUGGCUGUCGUCAGCUCGUGUCGUG